This 387-nucleotide ribosomal RNA is filed under the name Achalinus rufescens (Boulenger's odd-scaled snake). Its description in RNAcentral is "partial 12S ribosomal RNA". Lineage: Eukaryota; Metazoa; Chordata; Lepidosauria; Squamata; Xenodermidae. The record is from RNAcentral.
GCAAUAAAAUACUAAUUGCCCGCCAAACCACUACGAGUGAAAACUUAAAACUUAAAAGACUUGACGGUACUUCAAACCCAGCCUAGAGGAGCCUGUCUAAUAACCGAUAACCCACGUUUAACCCUACCCGCUUUAGCCAACCAGUCUAUAUACCGCCGUCGCCAGCCCACCUUAUGAAAGAACCACAGUGCACCUAAUAGUCUAACACUAAUACGACAGGUCGAGGUGUAACUUAUAGGCGGGGGCAGAUGGGCUACAUUUUCUUCAAUAGAAUAAACGAACAGGGGCAUGAAAUCACCCCCCAAAGGCGGAUUUAGCAGUAAGCUGCAGCGCACAUUACCCAGCUGAAACUAAUGCAAUGAAGUGCGUACACACCGCCCGUCAUCC